AUGGGGGAAUAUUACGGUUCACGCGCGCAAGAGAGCGUGGCGUUUCCUCUCUCCGGGCCGCCGGUAUGCGUCUCCCUGUUCGGGUACUCGGCGCAACGAGGGUGUCUGCGCUCCGUCCACGACGAGGAAAGCGGCGACAGUUUCAUCGAGCUUAGAGACAUCGAGCACGGAGCCAGAACCCCGGCCGAGAGGUUCUACCUGGAGCCGUCCAAGCAGCACGAGGGCCUCCUGCACGUCAGGUGCUGCGACGGCAACAAGUACUGGGUCGCCCGGCAACAGCGCACGCCCGACGGCGGCAGUGCAUGGUUCAUCUCCGCCACCGCGGACGAACCGGAGGAGGACCUGACCAAGCCGUCUUGCACCUUGUUCGACUUCCAAGUCGCUAGUGACAGUAAACGGCCCAGCGAGGGCGGCGGCGGCUACAUCAGGUGCUUUCAUUCUCAACAAAAUAAAUAUGUUGGCUGGGUUUCUGUCUCUGGGGACUUGUGUUUUAUUCCAGGCAACAAAGCCUACCUGCAACUAGGAGUAAGAGAUCUCUUGAGUGUUCAUCGCUUGUCGCAACAGAAGGAAUUGCCCAAAUAUGUCGCUUUUAAAGGCAACAAUGGCAAGUACCUCACAGAAAUGAACCGGAAUUCGUUUUCUGGCAAGACUGGCGGUGAUGAUUGGGUUCAGCAGUUUUCAUCAUCUGAUCUCACAGAUCCAGAUGUGAUCCAUGAGACAUUCACCGACGACUACGGUAUUGUCCGCAUAAGAAACAACACCUCAGGCAGGUUUUGGACAUGUGGCGUCCGUAGUCUCCUCAAUGGGACGAUUGGCACUAUAAAUGACUCCGGCUUUUACUUCGGCGCGUUCAUACCACAUGAUGCCAUUUACAGCGAUGUUAACACAUUGUUCAAGGUGGUCUCAAAGGAUGGGAACAUCAUUGCACUCCAAAACCUCGGCAAUGGAAAAUUCUGUGAGAGUGUGACCGAUCCGACUAUAAUCUAUUCUAAUAUCCUCGUUGCUUCUGGUACUGAUAUCAACUCCUCGGGAGUAAUGCUCCAGAUUGAAGAACCGGUUAUGUCUCGAGAGAUAUAUGAUGUUGAGUACAAUGUCGGUGGAAAGAAGACUAGCACUAACCAAAAUGUCUCCAGGACAGAGGUGCUUUCUAACAAUAGAACACAUGAAACCCACCAAGGCAAACCUACCAUUGAACUAUAUGACAGAACAGAGAGUAAAUGGGAUGCGAAUUUAACUCUCGACGCAGGUAUCAAAGCCCACAUCUCAGCUAGCUUGCCAUUUAUAAUGGAAGGUGGAGCUGAAAGCCAUUUGGACUUUCAUGGAGAGUAUAAUUGGGGAGAAACCAAGAUACAAGAAACGAAGCGCAUGUAUGAAUACUCAUAUCCUGUGCCUCCGAUGACUAAAGUGUUAUGUAGCAUAUUCACAAGAGAAGAUGUUGUUGAUGUUCCCUUCUCAUACAAGCAGAAGGAUGUUAUGUACAGUGGCAACAUAGUUAUCCGUCAGUUACAUGAUGGUAUCUAUCAUGGUACCAAGUCCUCUGAUAUCGACAUUGACAUCACUGAAGAAAGUAUCGCAUAA
Molecule: ribosomal RNA, 1578 nt
Filed under: Triticum aestivum (bread wheat)
Lineage: Eukaryota; Viridiplantae; Streptophyta; Magnoliopsida; Poales; Poaceae
Description: partial small subunit ribosomal RNA
Source: RNAcentral